UUACGGCUACAUCACGUUGAAACACUGGUUACCGUACGAUCACCGAAGUUAAGCAACGUAGAGCCUAGUCAGUACCUAGAUGGGUGACCGGGAUAAGCAAGUGA
This 104-nucleotide ribosomal RNA is filed under the name Acanthosepion pharaonis. Lineage: Eukaryota; Metazoa; Mollusca; Cephalopoda; Sepiida; Sepiidae. The record is from RNAcentral.